UCAGAACGAACGCUGGCGGCAGGCCUAACACAUGCAAGUCGAGCGAGACCUUCGGGUCUAGCGGCGGACGGGUUAGUAACGCGUGGGAACGUACCCUUCUCUAAGGAAUAGCCACUGGAAACGGUGAGUAAUACCUUAUACGCCCUUCGGGGGAAAGAUUUAUCGGAGAAGGAUCGGCCCGCGUAAGAUUAGAUAGUUGGUGGGGUAAUGGCCUACCAAGUCUACGAUCUUUAGCUGGUUUUAGAGGAUGAUCAGCAACACUGGGACUGAGACACGGCCCAGACUCCUACGGGAGGCAGCAGUGGGGAAUCUUAGACAAUGGGCGCAAGCCUGAUCUAGCCAUGCCGCGUGAGUGACGAAGGCCUUAGGGUCGUAAAGCUCUUUCGCCUGUGAUGAUAAUGACAGUAGCAGGUAAAGAAACCCCGGCUAACUCCGUGCCAGCAGCCGCGGUAAUACGGAGGGGGUUAGCGUUGUUCGGAAUUACUGGGCGUAAAGCGCACGUAGGCGGAUUGGAAAGUUGGGGGUGAAAUCCCAGGGCUCAACCCUGGAACUGCCUCCAAAACUACCAGUCUAGAGUUCGAGAGAGGUGAGUGGAAUUCCGAGUGUAGAGGUGAAAUUCGUAGAUAUUCGGAGGAACACCAGUGGCGAAGGCGGCUCACUGGCUCGAUACUGACGCUGAGGUGCGAAAGUGUGGGGAGCAAACAGGAUUAGAUACCCUGGUAGUCCACACCGUAAACGAUGAAUGCCAGUCGUCGGCAAGCAUGCUUGUCGGUGACACACCUAACGGAUUAAGC
This 794-nucleotide ribosomal RNA is filed under the name alpha proteobacterium HA-mar-Is18-14. Its description in RNAcentral is "bacterial SSU rRNA". It matches the Rfam family "Bacterial small subunit ribosomal RNA", at positions 24 to 865 of the family's 1533-position model. The record is from RNAcentral. Lineage: Bacteria; Pseudomonadati; Pseudomonadota; Alphaproteobacteria.